Molecule: long non-coding RNA, 2221 nt
Filed under: Homo sapiens (human)
Lineage: Eukaryota; Metazoa; Chordata; Mammalia; Primates; Hominidae
Description: HSALNT0373071
Source: RNAcentral
AGGCGGAGACACAAGGCUCCGUUCCACUGGGCACGCCAGCGGGUAGGGGUGGGGGCGGGGAGGUGCGCGCGCAGCGUGGGAGGAGGCCAACUCUCGGGGCGCUCCCUAGCCCUGGGUGGGUGGAGCGGGGGAAGCGGAGUACGUUGGACCCGGCUCCGCCCUACCCCACGGGGCCGCCUGGAGAGGUGCUGGGAGCUGGGUGGAGCUUAGAGGAAUUAAACUUUGGCCCUGCGCCUCGUCCAGCCUAGGUUCCACCCUUUUCUGGGAACGUGAGUAUCAACCAAGAAUGAAUCUCGCUGUGUUGUCCAGGCUGGAGUGCAGUGGCACCAUCUCGGCUCACUGCAACCUCUGGCUCCCAGGUUCAAGCGAUUCUCCUGCCUCAGCCCCCUGAGUAGCUGGGAUUACAGGCACGCGCCACCACUCCCAGAUCUUCACUUCAGGUCAGCUCCAAGGAGGCUAUCCUUGCCCAUCUUCCUAAAAUAGAGCUCUCAAAACCUGGCUGUUUUCCUUCAGAGCACUGGCCUCCAAUUGCUCCGGUAGAUUGCAAAUGACCUGCUUUCUUUCUGUUCCCGGGCGUUUGGACCCCUGUCUUGGACCGCUGUCGGAUAGUAAAUCCCAAGUAAGGUACCUGCCGUCGGCAGAUUUGAGCUUUCUUCUUGGACACCUAAUACCCAGAGUCCUCCAGGCUCCGGUAGAUUGCAAAUGACCUGCUUUCUUUCUGUUCCCGGGCGGCAUCGGACCCGUCGGAGAGUAAAUCCCAAGUAAGGUACCUGCCGUUGGCAGAUUUGAGCUUUCUUCUUGGACACCUAAUACCCACAGUCCUCCAGGUGAGUCCUAAGUAUCUUAGGAUCCGCGAUGGGGGUCCUAAGGCAGGGGGGGAAGAGGGGAUGGCUGUCACCCAACCCAAAAUGGGCGGCCUUUAUGUUCAGGUUUUGCCCAAGAGUCAGCUUAUUUGCUUCUUGUACUAUCAGGGCAGUUGAUGCCACGGCCCUCAAACAGGGGGGCCAUCCUUUAGAAACCCUCUCUAGUUGUUUAGAGACGUAGGACAUUGGCCUCAUCCAGGGCCCCAGAGUUUCGGUUAAAAGUCCAGCUGCCAUCUUUUCUCUAUCUGACGCGUUCAACGGAAAAGGCUUUGUCAGAUCGGGUAGCCCCAGGGCUGGGGCUGCCAGAAGUUUUUCCUUUAACUCAUGAAAGACUUGCUGUUGUUGGGAUCCCUAUUCCAAAGGUUCCCGGUCCCCGCCCCCUUUGUGACCUCAUACAAAGGCUUGGCUAACACUGCAAAGUUUGGGAUGCACAGUCUAUAAAACCCCACAGCCCCUGAGAAUUCCCUCACCUGCCUUCUGCCCUUAGGCUCCGGUAGAUUGCAAAUGACCUGCUUUCUUUCUGUUCCCGGGCUGCGUUCGGACCCCUGUCGGAUAGUAACUCCCAAGUAAGGUACCUGCCGUCGGCAGAUUGGAGCUUUCUUCUUGGAGACCUAAUACCCACAGUCCUCCAGAAAAACAAACAAAGACAUGGAUUUACUGUGCAUAUUAGCAGAUCCAUACUGGAAAAUGCAUGGAGGUUUCAUAUACACCACUUACAGGUUUCCAAAGCCACAAUUUCCUUCAUAUGUUCAAACUCUUCAGGAUGCAGAAAGGCAGUGAACUCCUCCGGAGUAGCUGUCAGGUCACCAUUGAGGUCUGCAGCUUUGAAUCUUCUCUCAUCACGUGGCAGCAUCUUUUUAAAGGUGUGAUGAUCUGAAGAAUCAUGAAACUCUGCGGGGUUUCCUAGGUUUUCAGCUCCUCAGUAGUGACAAAGCCAUACCCAUCAUUGUCGAUUCGAUCAACAAUCUUCCCUAGCCUCUCCUUGCUCUCGUCCGGGGUGAGCUCGUCGAAGUUCUUGGAGUCCUCCUUGCCCAGGAAGGCCUCGUGGUCGUACUGGAAGCUCUGGUUGUCCUCAGGGGGCCGCUCGCCCAGCUCCGAGUCGGGCCGCACCACGCGCUCUUUGCGCACCGUGGGCUUGGCCCGCAGAACCCGCGGCGCCAGCACCAGCGCCAGCAGCAGCCCCAGGGCUAACCCCAGGCGGCCACCGCGCGCCAUCGUCCCGAGGAGAGGGCGGCCGGGAGGGAGACGCUGAGCGAGCGACAACAGCGGCAGCUCGGGAAUGGGGGCUCGGAGCGCGGCGGCCAAGUUUUAUGUUAUGUAUAUUUUACAAGUAAAAAAAUUUUUUCACCUCAGCCUGA